UGGGGAAUAUUGCACAAUGGGCGCAAGCCUGAUGCAGCCAUGCCGCGUGUGUGAAGAAGGCCUUCGGGUUGUAAAGCACUUUCAGCGGGGAGGAAGGCGUUAAGGUUAAUAACCUUGGCGAUUGACGUUACCCGCAGAAGAAGCACCGGCUAACUCCGUGCCAGCAGCCGCGGUAAUACGGAGGGUGCAAGCGUUAAUCGGAAUUACUGGGCGUAAAGCGCACGCAGGCGGUCUGUCAAGUCGGAUGUGAAAUCCCCGGGCUCAACCUGGGAACUGCAUUAGAAACUGGCAGGCUAGAGUCUUGUAGAGGGGGGUAGAAUUCCAGGUGUAGCGGUGAAAUGCGUAGAGAUCUGGAGGAAUACCGGUGGCGAAGGCGGCCCCCUGGACAAAGACUGACGCUCAGGUGCGAAAGCGUGGGGAGCAAACAGG
This 429-nucleotide ribosomal RNA is filed under the name Chloroflexota bacterium. RNAcentral's name for it is "Chloroflexi bacterium partial 16S ribosomal RNA". It matches the Rfam family "Bacterial small subunit ribosomal RNA", at positions 355 to 776 of the family's 1533-position model. Lineage: Bacteria; Bacillati; Chloroflexota. The record is from RNAcentral.